CAGAAACUGGAUCAGAUCAGCAAGUUGAAGGAGCAGCAGGCUGCUGGGAAAACUCUGGAGAAGAAUCAGCUAGAGAAACUAAAGAGCGAAGAGGAUAUUCUGAAUGAAUUGGCGGAGUUAGAAUUGUGAUGCAGCAUGCAUGCGCAGUCAGCCACUCACGUAGUGCAGCAGAGUGAAUGCUGGUGGGAUGCAGUGGAAGUGCUUGCAGGGAAACCCUGUGUAAUGUUCAGGCAUGCAGCAGUGUAGUGUGUUGUAUGUUCUCAUCUAGUUACUGCUUAUGUUACUCAAUCAUGUACGGACGUGGCGUACGAUUCUUUAUGCAGACGGGCAUGCAUCAGUGAAAUAGAAGGGGAGAAAAAACAGGAGGGAGGUCAGUUUCAGGAUUCUGACACGGGAUAUUCUUGUUUGAAGUCAAAGUACUAGACGCCACAAUGAGUGUUUUAAAGAUGCAGCAAAAAUAAAUCCGAGUUGUAAAUGAUAUCUGGCAAAUUUCGUACCACUUGAGAUUGUUGACACCGCAUUGCUAAAUGUCAAGAAAAAAAAUAUUGCAAAGACUAGUAGAAUGGUGCCAAAUCCACAAUGGUACCUUUGUAGCAAGUUAAUGGUAUGUUUACCUUGUGUAUGCUUCCAUACGUUAAUAAAUUUAUGUUACAUUUUGAAAUACUAUGAAGAGAAGCAUGUUUCAAAAAUAAAUCGUUUUUUCCACA
Priapulus caudatus is the source of this 707-nucleotide long non-coding RNA. RefSeq lists it as uncharacterized. NCBI's taxonomy places the organism in Eukaryota, Metazoa, Priapulida, Priapulimorpha, Priapulimorphida, Priapulidae. The transcript has 2 exons. The record is from RefSeq and is a predicted model, not a curated record.